This 77-nucleotide transfer RNA is filed under the name Alphaproteobacteria bacterium. RNAcentral describes it as "tRNA-Met". It matches the Rfam family "tRNA". From Rfam's summary of the family: Transfer RNA (tRNA) molecules are approximately 80 nucleotides in length. Their secondary structure includes four short double-helical elements and three loops (D, anti-codon, and T loops). Further hydrogen bonds mediate the characteristic L-shaped molecular structure. tRNAs have two regions of fundamental functional importance: the anti-codon, which is responsible for specific mRNA codon recognition, and the 3' end, to which the tRNAs corresponding amino acid is attached (by aminoacyl-tRNA synthetases). tRNAs cope with the degeneracy of the genetic code in two manners: having more than one tRNA (with a specific anti-codon) for a particular amino acid; and 'wobble' base-pairing, i.e. permitting non-standard base-pairing at the 3rd anti-codon position. Lineage: Bacteria; Pseudomonadati; Pseudomonadota; Alphaproteobacteria. RNAcentral also lists the same sequence under 7 other names. The record is from RNAcentral.
AGGCCCGUAGUUCAGUUGGUUAGAACGCACCGCUCAUAACGGUGUUGUCGGGGGUUCAAGUCCCUCCGGGCCUACCA